GUGCCAGCAGCCGCGGUAAUACGUAGGUGGCAAGCGUUGUCCGGAUUUAUUGGGCGUAAAGCGAGCGCAGGCGGUUUCUUAAGUCUGAUGUGAAAGCCUUCGGCUCAACCGAAGAAGUGCAUCGGAAACUGGGAAACUUGAGUGCAGAAGAGGACAGUGGAACUCCAUGUGUAGCGGUGAAAUGCGUAGAUAUAUGGAAGAACACCAGUGGCGAAGGCGGCUGUCUGGUCUGUAACUGACGCUGAGGCUCGAAAGCAUGGGUAGCAAACAGGAUUAGAUACCCUGGUAGUCCAUGCCGUAAACGAUGAGUGCUAGGUGUUGGAGGGUUUCCGCCCUUCAGUGCCGCAGCUAACGCAUUAAGCACUCCGCCUGGGGAGUGCGACCGCAAGGUUGAAACUCAAAGGAAUUGACGGGGGCCCGCACAAGCGGUGGAGCAUGUGGUUUAAUUCGAAGCAACGCGAAGAACCUUACCAGGUCUUGACAUCCUUUGACCACUCUAGAGAUAGAGCUUUCCCUUCGGGGACAAAGUGACAGGUGGUGCAUGGUUGUCGUCAGCUCGUGUCGUGAGAUGUUGGGUUAAGUCCCGCAACGAGCGCAACCCUUAUUACUAGUUGCCAGCAUUUAGUUGGGCACUCUAGUGAGACUGCCGGUGACAGACCGGAGGAAGGUGGGGACGACGUCAAAUCAUCAUGCCCCUUAUGACCUGGGCUACACACGUGCUACAAUGGAUGGUACAACGAGUUGCGAGACCGCGAGGUUUAGCUAAUCUCUUAAAACCAUUCUCAGUUCGGAUUGUAGGCUGCAACUCGCCUACAUGAAGCCGGAAUCGCUAGUAAUCGCGGAUCAGCAUGCCGCGGUGAAUACGUUCCCGGGCCUUGUACACACCGCCCGU
This 892-nucleotide ribosomal RNA is filed under the name uncultured bacterium. Its description in RNAcentral is "bacterial SSU rRNA". It matches the Rfam family "Bacterial small subunit ribosomal RNA", at positions 505 to 1397 of the family's 1533-position model. The record is from RNAcentral.